This is a long non-coding RNA of Limulus polyphemus (Atlantic horseshoe crab), 777 nucleotides long. RefSeq lists it as uncharacterized. The record is from RefSeq and is a predicted model, not a curated record. The transcript has 3 exons. Lineage: Eukaryota; Metazoa; Arthropoda; Merostomata; Xiphosura; Limulidae.
UGUUCGUUGAUGAGGAUUCGAGCCCGUGACCUGCAGAUUGCAAGUCCAGCGCCCUAACCACCAGGCCCGUUUUACGAAAAUGCUACAUUCUUUAUUAGUUUCUUAACAAGUCGCUGAAGGAUAAAUGCUUAUCCCUUAGGAUUCUCCUUGACAUAAAUGAAGGAUUAAAGUUAUGUGGCGCAGAAUAAAAGAUACUGGAAUUCAACCGUAUAAGCCAAGAAAACAUUUCAAUAGGAACCACACCAGGUUUCUGAAGUUUUUUCCUCACUACAUUAGAUGGGAGUAUGUGAAGGACAUUGUAUGAAAGAUGAUGACAACGUUGCGUGCCCAAAUAAUCAACGCAACUGCGACGAGUACUCUGAAGAUGCUGGAAAGUACGUGAGAGGAGAUCGAUUAUCGCCCGGACAUCUUUCGAGACCAUGUCAAAGCAUACUAACGGCGCCACUUCCCAUGGGCAAACCUAGUGUGUUUAGCCUACAUUAUACCACGAACCGAAGUUCUGUAUAUUAUAUAGUUCUUGUUCUAUUCAAGUAAAAAAUGGUUUAAUAACUUAUUCAGUUCCCGUUUUAUUAGAACAUUUUUUAUAAACGUUCCAAAUAGGCAGGAGCAGUCCAUUUAACACGACCGCUAUCUACACAAUUGUAUUUUUAUUAUAACUAAUUUCAACAGUAAUGCGAUACAUUAAAACGAAUUAAAAUAGUACUAUAGAUAUCGAGGUCGAAUUCUUUUUUAAUUUAGAAAUUACGUCUGGUAAUAAACUUUAGUUUUUGUUUGUUU